Thalassophryne amazonica is the source of this 1110-nucleotide long non-coding RNA. RefSeq lists it as uncharacterized. NCBI's taxonomy places the organism in Eukaryota, Metazoa, Chordata, Actinopteri, Batrachoidiformes, Batrachoididae. The record is from RefSeq and is a predicted model, not a curated record. The transcript has 2 exons.
GUCAAUGAUUAUAGGUUGAAGAGGAUUUGCAAAUCAUUUUUUUAUUUCCAUUUUACACAACGUCCCAACUUCACUGGAAUUGGGGUUGUACGAGUAUAUAAAUAAAUGAAUGAUAGGGUGCCUGAAACAUAUGCACAGAACUGUAUUUCACAUUACUUAGGCUGCCAUCCUUAAACUGUGUAACAGGGCAGAUAUGUGAAAUAUAUGUGCAAAAUUUGGUGUCUUUACCAUAAAAUGCUGAGACAUUAGUUGAAUAAUAAUAAUUUUAUUAAUAUAUUAUCAUUUACAUCAUGCCAAGCUCAAAUGUUUUUUUUUGUUACAUUUUUUUAUGAAUGUAAUUGUGGUUGGAAUGGAUUCAACAUGCAAGAAAAUGACACUACAUUUGUGUCUGAAUGACACAUGAAGUGUAAUUUUCUGCUUCCAUACAAGCCAACUGACCAAAAAAAAAAAAAAAAAAAAAGCAGCACAUCUACAUUUUUAUUAUAUAUAAUUGAACAUUGUCUGUACAAAAUUUGGUUUUUGUUCUUAACCAUAAAAUGCACAAUCAUAGUGGUAAUUUACACAUAUCUGCUCUGCUACAAUGUAAAAGCACAAACGUCCAGUCAGGUCCAAACUAUCCAGGCGAAGGUAUCACAGUUCAAAUCAAAUAAUAACAAAAAAAAAAAAAAAAACAUGGUCAAAGUCAAACUUUUAUGUUUGACAUUGGUGUUUACAUCACUUUUUUUUGUACAGGGUCUUUCAGCUUUAACACUACAAUUAAAGCUGAAAUUUGGCAUCGAGUUCAUACUUUUUCCAUCUGCAUCCUGUUGUGUUGGACGGUUAAAAAGGCUGCCGGUAUGCGUGAACCCUUUACUAAUGGAGCUCAGUGCCGGAUGCCUUGAUCACACCGUGUCACACGCUCAGAGGCAACACGAACAUCACACGGUCCCACUACCAGGAAUAAGAAGUCAAAAGUAAACAUCUGAACAUAAGCGUGUGUGUGUGUUUAACUUCACAAAUGGGAACAUGGGACAGAUGUGACUAAACCAAGGAAGUGGACCAACUUAUGGAGCAGAAUGACAUUAAAAAUCAUAGGGUCUGAACAGCCUGAGUUUCUAUUCUUGGGGAGGG